AGGACGAACGCUGGCGGCGUGCUUAACACAUGCAAGUCGAGCGGUAAGGCCUUUCGGGGUACACGAGCGGCGAACGGGUGAGUAACACGUGGGUGAUCUGCCCUGCACUUCGGGAUAAGCCUGGGAAACUGGGUCUAAUACCGGAUAUGACCUCAGGUUGCAUGACUUGGGGUGGAAAGAUUUAUCGGUGCAGGAUGGGCCCGCGGCCUAUCAGCUUGUUGGUGGGGUAAUGGCCUACCAAGGCGACGACGGGUAGCCGACCUGAGAGGGUGACCGGCCACACUGGGACUGAGACACGGCCCAGACUCCUACGGGAGGCAGCAGUGGGAAUAUUGCACCAUGGGCGAAAGCCUGAUGCAGCGACGCCGCGUGAGGAUGACGGCUUCGGGUUGUAAACCUCUUUCAGCAGGACCGAAGCGACAAGUGACGGUACCUGACAGAAGAAGCACCGGCUAACACGUAGACCAGGCACGCCGC
RNAcentral lists this ribosomal RNA (477 nucleotides) under uncultured soil bacterium. RNAcentral describes it as "bacterial SSU rRNA". It matches the Rfam family "Bacterial small subunit ribosomal RNA", at positions 26 to 520 of the family's 1533-position model. The record is from RNAcentral.